Molecule: non-coding RNA, 72 nt
Organism: Podarcis lilfordi (Lilford's wall lizard)
Lineage: Eukaryota; Metazoa; Chordata; Lepidosauria; Squamata; Lacertidae
Source: the annotation of a GenBank genome assembly
GAUAGCUCAGUCGGUAGAGCAUGAGACUCUUAUGUCUCAAAGAUCAUGGGUUCAAGUCCCGUCCCCCCACCA